GAUAGCGCACUCGGCCAAAGAUUUCUCGCACUGCAGCUGCUUCCCUCUGUAAAUCAGCCUCUGCUCAAUGACGGGAAUUCCAGUGAUCAGUUGAAUCCGCUCGUGCACCGACUGCACGGUAUCGCUGGAAUUGGCCUGGAAGACCAAGGUCUUGCCCUCCGAGAUCAUCCGCACGAAGAACUGGAGCCUUGAGGCGAAGGCCAGGCGGGCGGACGGCAAGGGGGAGUGCGGCAGGGGCCAGGGCACCCGGCCGGAGCUGGAGCUGCUGGCGUGGGCGAACGCGGGGUGCGGGUGCUGGACCGAGUACAGCUCGUCCUUUCGCAUCCGAAUGCUGAGUAAAUCGGCCGCGAACUCGUCGUCGAAGGCCGUAGGGGCAUAAUCGUCCAACUUUCGCUUCGCGGCGGCGGAGGCGAGGCGGCGGCUGUCGUUCGCGGGGUUGGGAUCGGCGAGCGAAGACAUCAACGGCCCACGCGCCGCCGUGGACGUCGGUCGCCGCGGCGGGGGAAGGAGCUCAACGAGCCGGGGGCGGCGGGGAUCGCCGGGGGGGCCUCUAAAACCCUAGAAUUCCGCUGAUCGGGCGAAGCCGCCGGGGCAGCAGCUAGACAACAGAAACCCAAGAAACGCACCGGGCGGCCGAGCGAGCGGGGGCGGGAGGAGAGAGGAAGGGGUGGAUCGGCGACGGCGACGGCGACGGCGGGGGGGCGGGGGCGGGGGCGGGGGCGGGGGCGGUAGAGAGAGAAGCGAUUUGGUGAGUGUGAAAGAAGAGAGAGAAAGAGAGAGAAAGCCGGCUCUGUGGAAGCAGCAGAGUCAUCAAUGGAGGUAGAGGAGAGAGAAAGAGAGAUUUUAGACUGUCUUCUUACGCUAAGAGGAAAAUCAAAGGCAAAAAAGAAAAAAGAAAACAUAUAUAUAUAUAUAUAUAUAUAUAUAUAUAAGAAGAGGAAGGAAGGAAGGAAGGAAGGGAGGCGGGGGAGGGUUCUGGUGGAGGAGGCCGCACCAACUUUUCAUGAGCCUCCUUUCCCCUUCUUCUUUUUUUUUUUUCAUUUUUUGGCCUUUUUUCGUAAAUGUAAUGAAUAUAUUGCUCCAUUUAUCGAAUGCGCCCAAAAUUCACUUUCAAUUUCCUGCUCGUUUAAUGAAAAAAUGGGUGAUAUUCUACCAUGUGUGGUAGUUGUGCUUAUCCUAAUUGACGAUCUAGUUUUUUUUUUUUUUUUUCCGUUGGUUUUUCUUUGCGAUUGGGAGCCGAUUUUCUAAGAUUAAGGUUUCCGGAUGCCAAAUUGGGCGGAGUUAUGUAGGGUUUGAAAGGCUAGUGGCAAGGCUUAGGAUACAUGGUUUGGAGAGAAAAUUGAUUCAGCUUUUGAGAUUGGAGUCAGAGUUUUCGGAUUAAGAUUUUCACAUACCUAAUUGGGCGGAGUUAUGUGGGGUUUAUGAUGCACAAUUGGAUAUGUUUAUGAUGCACAAUUGGAGAGACAAUUGAUUUGGCUUCCAAAAUUACAUUCGAUAUCGCUGAUAUGCUAUGCUCAAAAUUUAAAUUAAGUAAUUCCUUAUUAUAUAAAUCCACGUCAUCAUAAAUCAGGGUAAUUAUUAUAUUACGUCUUUUGAACGGCUUGAAAAUGUUAAGAAGUUCAAUAAGUAUGAAUCAGUACCACUAGAUAAACUUCUUUUCAAAUUGCAAGAUCUAUUUUUUAGUUUUUUUAUUAUGAUCAAAGGUGAAUUUCAAAUGAAUUAGCCGACCUUUAUGACUAGCUAAAAGGUAAAGCGGCUUCACUUAUAUUAUAGUACACAAUUGGAGAAGAUAAACGAGUAGUAUUCCUCUUAAAGAUUUGUCGUUCUCAAAAUUAAGGUAAGUAAUUUCUCGGCAUAUGCACUUGCAUCGCCAUAACGGGGUUAAUUAUCAUGUUACUAUUUUUAGAUUGUAUUUGUCUAGAUGAAGCUUUUUUUAAAAUUGCCGUACCCCAUCAAUCUUUCUAUAUCCAACCAUCAUAACCUUGUCAAGAAAUUCAAUAUAAUUAAAAGGGUAUCAUAUAUAAUGGGUAAAGUUUUUUUUUUUUUUCAAUUUUGUUAUUUUUAGGCGGGGAAAAGACUUGGGUUGUUUUCAGAUAAUUACUUACGUGCAUAGAAUUACGAAAAAAAAAACAGUGAUAUCUCAAUAAAAUUAAAAGUCAAAGGUUGUUUUUUUUUUUAAAUUUUCUCAAAAAUAAAAAAGAAAAAGCCAAAGGUUGAUGCGGCAAGAACGUACAAAAGUUGGGGAAUACGCACGGUCCCCGGGGGGAGGUCAUCUACAUGAAAUCGUCGCUCUAUAGAAUAUUUCUUGCGGUUUGAAUGUCACAAAGCAUAUCCAUUUCAGCCGGUCCAUAUGAACAUAUAUGGUCCCGUCUCCUUCUCAUCAUUAAAAAAAAAGGUUUAAAUAAAAUAAUUGACAUGUGAACAUCACACCAAAUCAGAACUUGGAAGUUUGCCAUUGUGGAGUGCUAAUCUCAUAAUCGAUUUUAAUUUGGAAUUUGGCACCAAUCGAUCUCCUCAUCAAUUAAAUUAGAUCAUCAUUAUUAUCUGUUAGUGUGUUUAAUUGUUUUAUUUACGCGAAAUUGCAAUUUACAAGGCAUUGGUAGGUUUGUUGUAUUUACAUUCGUAAUUCGACUACAUUGCCAUCCCCAAUUAGUUGACUUAGUUGGGAUAAAUCCUCGUGAAAUGACAUAAUAGUUAGUUGUUUUGCACUUUCUUAUCCUUGUCUCUUCGUGAUAUAAAAUAAAAGUUACACAGAAUUUCAAGUUGACAUGAGUUAAGAUUUUUUUUUUUUUUUUUAUGGUAGACCUUAGAGUCUAGACCAAACCCGCUCAUUUGCCUUUCGGGCAUCUUGGGGUUGGGUGAUCAAGCGCGUCAUUCCGCUCAUGAUCAUCUCAAAUUUUGCUAUUUUACUUUCAAAAUAUUUCAAUUUAUUUUUUUGGUUGUAAAUUUUGUAUAUUUUAGACAAUGAAUCCAUGCCCAAUUCCUAAAUUCUGAUGUUUAUAAAAAUGAAUAAAUGAAAAACUUUUUAUCGUCCAUGGAAAAUGUUUAGAUAUAACUUGUUAUCGAUAAUAAAAAAAAUUUCAUUAACUCAUGAUUUCAAGCAAUAAAAAAUUAUUCAUAGGAAAUUUUUCUCCAAAUUAUUAAUUUACUGCAAAACAAACGUAUUAAGUUUUAAGAUUACAUAAAAGAAUUAGAGAUUCUUCAUGAUUUAGAUCUACCACACGUGCGCAUGCCCAUACGCGCGUAUAUAUAUAUAUAUAUAUAUGUGCGCGCGCGCAUUUAAAGUCAGAACUCGAAAAAUAUUUAUUUCUAUGCUUGCCAUGUAAAAGUUAACUUUGUUUACAUUGUUAUCGCAUGGCAUAAGUUUGCCACAUUGUCUAUUUUGACUAAUUAACAUUCGUUUAUUGAUUUGCCAUUCUCAAAUAUCUACCAGUUAUUAACAAUUAAUGCUUAAAAUUAAGAUGGAUAAAAAUAAAGUACCUUUAAAGAUAGCCCGAAGCUUAUUGGACCGAACAAUAAAUAGAGAAAAUUUAAGAAAAAAAAUCUUGAUAUUAAGGGCUCAACAUUUCUUUCUUUCGACUUACCUCAUUGAUUAUAAAUUUGAAAAAAAAAUAUAAAAUAUCUUUAAAUAUAACAUUUAUCCAUUUGAUGUGAGAUUAAGUCAAAACACGAAAUAUAUUUUGUCAUAUAAUUGAUACUCAUAAUUUUAUUAACUAAGUGAAUAACGUAUUAAAAUUAAAUUAGAAUAAUUUAAAGAACAAAUCAUUUUAUACACUUGGAUAAAUUCCACUGAUGUUCACUCAGUUUUAACAUUACAAUAAAGACUGAGAAUUUUUGUAGAAUUCAGAUUAAUUAUAUGUAGUAAAGCCGGGAGCAGCGAGAACAUUUACUCAUGUACUCGCCGCAUGGAAGAUUACCUUGUCUCUAUGCUUCCCACAUAGAAAGUCACAUGCCACAAUUAUGCCAGAUGGCCUAUAUCCUACCGAUUAGCAUUUGUUUAUUGACUCAUCAUUCUCAAAUUUCUUGCACCUAUUAAUUUAAAAUUGAAAUUUAAAUAAUGAAUAAAAUAUCUUAAAAGGUACUCUUGAACAUAUUUAAGCAAUAGCAUAGUUAAUAGAAAAAAAAAAUCCUGAAAUCAAUUCACAAAGAUUAAUCUCCUUCAAUUUCUUUUUUCGGUCAAAAACAAAUAUUUCAUUCAUAUCUCAGUAUCUUAAAAUGAUACAUAAAAGGUUUAAAACAAAGUAAAUCUCAAACAACAAAGUAGAACAAUAAAGCUAAUAAUACUCUCAUCUCAAAAGAGUAGAUCUCUCUCCGCGUCAAAUUAGAACGAACAUCAGCAAAUUUUCGAAUUUUGCAUUAAUAUAAGUGAUGAGCGCACACCAUAAUCUCCUCUAAUAGCUAUAGCUUUAGCUACAAUUUGAAGAGUGGGUGAUGAAUGCUGAAGUUCAACGUCUUCAAUACCAUCAAUUCCAUCACUACAUGGAGAUACCAAAACAAGUUGAAUAGGUUCUCGAAUCUAUAUCUAAAUUGAGAGAGAUUGAACGAACAUAGAAAUAACUCCCAAAUUUAAAUUUCAAUUGGGAGAGAAGAGCUCUCAAAUGUAGAUUUAAAUUGAGAAACGAGAGUUUCCAAAACUCGAAGAAGUGAUAUUUUUUUUUUGAUCGAAAGAUUCCUCAUUUCAUUUCAAGUAGUAAAAUUAGAGGACCAACCCAAAUGGGCAUCAAAACAAAGAACAUCCAAAAGAGAUUGAGGGGGACGAGAGACCAAAUUCCGAGGUAGAGAUUGCCAAAGUUGGGCUUUGGCAACCCAAUCCGUGGUUUUAUUUAAUUCUUGAUCCAUGGGUCAAUUUUAAUCUAGGAUUAGAACUGAGUGCAGCCCAGCCCGUCUAAACUAUGUGGUUGACUUCUUAAGGAGGAGGAUCUAUCCCCAAAAUCGUAUGAACUGCUAUGGAGCAGUCAAACUCAACAGCUACCCCACGUGACCCUUCUUCCUUCCUCCACUUCGCUGCCAUUUCCAGACAUUCGCAUACAGUUAGGGUUUCAACAUGCAAGGGGGAUUGCGCUUUAACCGAGCAAGCAAAACCACCGAGCAGCAUGCCAUUCUCGUCCCUGCACACCCCUGCUACAGAUCCGUCGUUAGUCCUUGGUGCGAAGGCUUCGUUGACGUUAAUUUUCACCCAUCCUGGGUCCAGCGAUCUCCAUCUUGCAGGUUCUACAUUACUUCUUCUGGUAUUUUACUGCUGUGAUGAAGCUUGAUCUAUUAAUUUUUGUUGUGAUGUGAGCAGAUCAGCCAUUACACCUUGCGGAUCUGGCUUCCUUGCUUGGAAAACUACUACAUUCCUCUGUUUCCAGAUGAGCCAGAGAGCUUCGGCUAUUGGGGAGCGUGAGACAGGUGGCUUUCAUACUCCAUAAACCAGCAAUCUAUACUCCUUAAUCCUGUGCUUUGUAUUUGAAUAUGGAGAAUGCAAUUUGACCAUAUUUCACAGGUCCAAGGGUAGAGUAAGAACAAAUGUUCUAUUGAUUUGGGGGACACUUUGCAUAGGGGACACCACAACUCGGGUAAGACUCUUCUUUUAGCUAGAUUCUAGAGGGAGGGCAUUUUGACAUAAGUUCCACAUAAACACUCUAACUUUGGGGAGGGUGCGUAGACUCCAUAUUUUGCUCCACAGUUCUUUGGGUUUUUGACAUGAAGAUCAGGGUGAUGUGUGGGCCAAGUGGCCUUCUAAACUUCUGAGUUGAUUAUACCCACUUUUUACUGAGUAAUUGCCUGAUUUGGUCGCCAUCCAAAUGCAUUUAUCUACCCUUCUGUCAGAUGGUAAGGGGAUGGCCAAAAUUUCGCUUACAAUUUUCUCUUCGAACAAGUUUUGAAGGUGUUCUUCAUUCCAUGUUGAAUUGUUUGUAUCUAUGAGUUCGGCUACCAUCAGGGGAUCGUCUCAGUUGGCUGGGCCAGGGAUUGUGCCUCGCUUUAACCUUCUGUCUUCACGUAUUUCAAUUGAUGCUCCAUUACCUAUUGCCCAUAGUGUUGAGCCUGAAAUAGAAUUUCUACCACUUAGUAGCCUGUCUUAGCAUGAUAGAAAUCUGUAGAGGGGAAAUAGAGUCCCUUGAAUAGUUUACUCCAUAAAGACGAGGGGUUUUCUAUCAAUCGCCAAGCCUGUCUUCCUAGCAUUGCUUUAUUGAAUGUGAUUAGAUCUCUAAAACCCAUUCCUCCCUGGUCCUUCCUCAUCUUCAGCACAUUCCAGCUUUUCCAAUGAAUUCCAACCUUAGAUUCAGCGUUCUUCCACCAAAAUGAAGCAAUUUUUUUCUCUAUAACUUUACAAAUGGAGACUGGAAUCUUAAAGAUGGACAUCGCGUAUUGGGGUAAUGCUUGGACAACUACUUUCAAUAGAACUUCUUUCCCAACUUUGGAUAUCAACUUUUCCUUCCAUCCUUCUAGCUUCAUAUUCACUCUAACCAAUAUCCAAGCGAACAAUUGUUUUUUAGAUGUUUCCCAAUCCGGCGGAAUGCCUAGAUAUUUCCCUGUUUUAUCAAUUUCCGGUGCUCUCAAUUCCCAUGUCAUGUUUCUCCUUAAAGUCUAAGGACAACCUAAACUAAAAAAUAUCCCGAGCUUGUUCAAAUUGAUUGCUUGACCAGUAGCUAUGUAGUAUUGGUUAAGAACAUCAGCCAAAUUUUGGCAUUCCUUCACCUUUCCAUCCAAAAAGAAUAUCGAGUCAUCCGCAAAUAAGAGAUGAGAUAAAGUUGGGCAAUUGCUGUUUAGUUUUAUGCCUUUCACUCUCCCUUCCCCAACUGCUUUUUUCAUAAGAAGAGAUAAAACAUUUGCUACUAGAAUAAAGAGAUAAGGGGAAAGGGGAUCACUUUGACGAAGUCCCCUUGAUGGCUGAAAAUAAGGUAACGAUUCUCCGUUAAACUUGAUACUAAAAGAGACUGAAGUCACACAAUGCAUAAUCCAUGAGAUCCACUUCUAACAAAACCCCAUCUUCAACAUACAAGCCUUCAAAAAGUCCCAUUCAAUUCUAUCAUAUGCCUUCUUCAUAUCAAGCUUUAACACAGCUUGAAAUUUCUUCUUUCUUUUCCUUAUUCUUAGCUGGUGAAGCACCUCCUAAAUAAUAAGAAUGUUAUCCUGGAUUUGUCGCCCUUUAACAAAUGCACUCUGUUCCUUUUGAUCAAUUUUGGAAGAAGGGGCUUUAAGCGAUUUGCCAAAACCUUAGAGAUGAUUUUAUAAGUAAAAUUGCACAGGCUAAUUGGUCCAUACUGAUCAAGCGUUUUCGGGUUUGAGACCUUUGGAAUGAGGACAAUUUGGGUUCUAUUAAAGUCUGGGUUGAACUAAUUUGUCUCCAUAAAAUCCCCUACCAACCUCAAUAGAUCCUUUUGGAUGUCUAUCCAAUGAUGGCGGAAAAACUGACCAUUUAAACCAACCAGCCCUGGAGCCUUGAUGACUCCUAAUUGAAAGACAGCAUCCUUUACCUCCUAUAGUGUAACUUUUUCUAUCAAUGCUUCAUCCAUCUCCUCUUGGAACCAACCGUGCUGUAUAAAUCAUAAAAGAAUUGAACUGUUGCCUCUUUUAAUUUCCUGGGGUCUCUACACCACUCACCAUUUGGCAGCUGGAGCAUGGAGAUUUUAUUUCUUUGUCGACGUUGUAUUGUGGUGGCAUGAAAGUUUUUUGUGUUUCUAUCGCCCCACUUCAACCACAUGAUCCUCAAACACAUUCCCCAAUACAUUUCUUCUCGUUUCCACAGUUGUUCAAUUUCUCAUUUGAUGCUUUGGACUCUUCCCCUUUCAUGAUCAGCCUCUUGAUUGUUUGUGAUGGAUACUAAUUCAGCUUUGAGAAUUUUGAUUUGUUUGUAGGCAUUUAAGAAUUUUUUACUCCAUUCUAGAAGGGUUCUUGUAACCUUUUGUUGUUUUUGUUCCCAACUCAGGUUUUAUGCACUGGAUGCUGCCAAAGCUGAUUUAAUGAUGUCCUCAUAUUCUCUGUCUUCUGCCCAAAAAGCUUCGUAUUUGAAUUCCUUUCUUCGUCUCACCCUUUCAGCUGAUAACGACACCAACGGGGGUUGUGAUCAGAUCCUACUGCAAGAAAAGUGAAAGCUUCAACCUUAGGAUAAGAAACCCUCCAUUCCAUGUUGCAUAAUGCUCGGUCAAGUCGUUCUUUGAUGUAAUCCUCUCAUUCCCAAUUGUUCGACCAUGUAAAUGCACAACAUUUUCCCUCCAAAUCCAUCAAUGAACAAUCAUUUAGAACUUCUCGGAAUGCCAGCAUCCAAUAAUGUUCCAACAUUCUUUUUCCAACUUUCUCCCAAUGGUAGAGAACUUCAUUAAAGUCACAUACACACAUCCGAGGAAGAGAGUUAUAAGACCUGAUAUGUCUUAAUUCAUCCCAUAACCUCAUUCUCUUCUGAAAAGUAUAUGGGGCAUGGAUUAGUGUAAGUCUCAAUUGUUUUGUUUGUCUCCCAUCUGCAGGUAGCAUUAAUAAAAUCAGCAGCAAAAGAAUCGAUUAUUAAUGUUAUGUCUUCAUUCCACAUUAGCGCAAGCCCCCAACAAUACCUUCUGGAUUCACAACAAAAAGAAAUUGGUAAUAAAACAUUUUCUUUAUCCUUUGCACCAUUGGUUCUUUUUUUUGUUUUCAUCAAGAAGAUUACAUUAGGCCUUUCACCAGCCACUAGGGCUCUAAGUUCUUGAAUUGUCAGGGGAUUGUCUAACCCCGACAAUUCCAACUUAAGAUUUUCAUUGGUACCCUAGUGACUUAUUAAGACUAGCCACCAAAGCCCAUUAACCCUCACCUUUCACCACUUAGACGAGAGUUUCUAACAGCCGAGUUUCAUCAAUUAAUAAUUGCAUAUCCUUUUCUGGAGCAUAAAGGUUUAAUCUCUUUUGCUUUUUAGCACUUAGUUUAACCCUUUUUUCCUUCUACUUUUUGGGUUGUUUCUGUAGAUUUUCUUCCUAUGUGGGAUAUAGGAGCUUUCCCCUUAUCGGGCCAUGUUAGUAGCAAGAAAGGAGGAUUAACCCUUACCUCAUUGCCACCUAAACUCUCGCUGUCCAUUUCCUUUCUCUUCUCAGCUCUGUCUGAAUGACUAGGUUGGGGGUAUGCUAGUUGGAUGAUCUCCAUUUUGUUCGAGAGGUUUUGAGUUUCAGGUAUGACUUCCUCUGCUGCCCUGUCUUCCCAUUUAUCUUCAUAAAAUAGCUUCCAAAUAGGACUAAACUCCCUAGCUUCUGCUUUCAACCAGAAUCCAAACCUUAGGUUCUCCAUUUUGUCUUCAUCAAUCGGAAUUUCAGUGCAAUGGGUGGUAAAAUGACCCAGUUUGCCACAUGCAAAGCAGAAAUGGGGUAAUCUCUCAUAUUUCUACUCUACCAAAAAAAAAAUUCCAGCAUGUUAGAUUACACUCCCCUGUUUCAAAGGGGCAUACAAAUCGAGCUCCACUUUCACUCUCUCCAAAGCAAAUGCCAUGGAGCCUUUUGUUUAUGUUCUGAUUUCUAUAACAUUUCCUAACUCCAUGGCUAUCUUUCUUAUAGCUAUCUCAUUACGCCAUUCAAUAGGUAAACCAUAGAUAUGCACUUAGAAAACUCCUCUCGUGAAAUCGUAGCAACAAGGAGGUGUGUUAGGUUCCCAUGAUUUCAACAAGAGAAUGUGAUUGGCAAAAGACCAAGAACCCCCAUCCAGCACUCGUUUAAUAUCCGUAGCAAAUUUGAAAGCAAACAUAAAGUGACCUUGUUCCAACAGAGUGAUACUGACAUUAUCUAUUUUCCAUGCCUUUUUCAUUGUACUUUGAAAAGCUUGAAAAUUAAUAGAGGGGCUUGUGAAUAGCUUACUGAUCAACAUCAGUUUACAAUCCUUUUCUUGUUCAAUGGCAUCCAUUUCUUCUGGAUCAAUAAUGUCAUUUUCUGACCACAUAUCUCCUAAUUUCUCGCAUAUCAACUACAGUCGGGGAUCAGCUUUUCUAUUCUCCAUUUCCGAACUUCAGUUUUCAGUUAGGCAAAUCAACAAACAGGUGGAAGAUUCAGUUGCAAAUAGCCACCAAAACCAGCCCAGAACAAUGCUCGAGAUUGAAGAUCCUUACGCGUUGCUUCUAUACCAAAAGACUCGGCAAAAAGAUUAAGAUACGAAGGACUACAAAGAUUCGGAAACUACUUGGUACUCAGUGGCAAAAUGAGAGAAAAUAAGAUGAAAGGAGACUAUGGGGAUUCCAAGCGGGUAGGGUAAGGUUGGUUGAAGAUGUGGGAGCUUGGCAAUGGAACAGUAGUUGUGUAGAUACCUUCCAUCAUAGAGAUAGUUGUUUAGUUCUAAAAGUGAAAAGGGGUUUCGUUGAGGAAGAUGAUUUUAGGGUUUAAAGAGUGAGCGUGCAAAGAGGUAUAUGUAAGGAGUGGGAGUUGGGGAUGGUGAGGAGAUUAGCUAGGGUUUUUGGAGAAGAAGAUGAUAGGUAUUAAAGAGGGGAAAGACAUGGCUACACCAAAGGUAAAGAAGCUCUCCAUGCAAGAGAGAAAAUUUUCAAAACGGGAGGAUAACCGCUUCAAAUGCUAUAUAAAUGAGACGCCUCAUAAGGUCACGCGUGGCACAUGUCCUUUUUCAAUUUUCUCUUUUAAAUAUUAAUAGCAUGCGGAAGUAUAACAAAAUUUUCACCACAUCUCUUAAAAAAAAAAAUCACACGAGUUUAAUAAAUGUACAUAUGCUUCUUCCUUAUAUUAACACCACUAGUUACCAUUUUCACAUAUUAUUCAAACAAAUACAUUACAUUACAUAAGUCUUAAGAAAAGGGUUGAGUCAAAUAGCACCUCUAAAACCAAACUAACCCAAAGGCAAGCAUAUACAUUAACCAAACCGCCAUUCAACUCAAGGGUUGAUGGCCUUUGAUCCCCUCAUCUUCAUGUCCUGGGGGACUAACCUACAAAUCAGAAAAAUAAGGAUGAGCUAAAGCCUAGUGAAUGAAAUCUUUAAGUCUAAGGUGAGAGAGUAUCUUACCAUUUAACCUAAUACCAACAAACAAUGUGAAUUCAAGGCAAUGCAAGAUAACAAUGAAUGACAAGUGCAUUAAUAAAUGCAUUAUUUUUCUUAUCUUAAUAUUGCAUCAGAUAAUUUACCCAAAUACAGGUGAAUGUUAUAACAAAUUGUGAUGCGUGUUUAUCACCGAUUGGCUCAUUAAUAGGCAUGUUUGAGCAUAUGCAUUUAUACAUACACAUAGACAUGCAUCAUAUUCAUUACUUCUUCUCUUCCCAAGCACACUUGGGGCAUCCUAACUCAAGGUGUACCUCAAAUUCAAGACAUCCCGAACACUCCUAGGGCCUGGGGCAUCUUAACACAUGAGGCAUCAUCACCAUUAAUUUAAACACAUAUUAUGUUUUUCCAUAUUUAUUCAUAUGGUACAAAUGCACAUAUUAAUAUUGUAGUCAUAAAAUCUUUCUUACAUCAACAAUGGAUUCAACAAUCGACGUUCGAUACACAACAUCCUUUUAUGCAAAUCAUUACCUUGCCUUUUUAAUGAUGACCUACAUGAGUAAUAAUGAUGACAUGUUUACCUCAUUUCAUUUUUCAUCAUGUCUUUUGAUAACCACAUGAUAAUAAUAUGCCUACCUCCUUUUCAUUUCUCAUGAAAACAAGGACAAAUAAGUAAUUAUAUGCAUUUCAACACAUAUACCCAAAUUCUUUUCUUAUCAUGUAAUGAUCGAUGAAAUAAAAGGCUUUAGUUAAGCAACCGGGUCAAAAAUAGUAAAAUGUCAUAAUCAACAAGUGGGUAUAGUCCACAAGUGGAUAUACUUGGUAAGUGAAUAUAAGCAGUAGUCAUACUCGACGAGCAGAUAAGCAGUACGUGGUUAUAUUCGACAAGUGAAUAUAAACAGUAAAUGGUCAUACUCGAUUAAUGAAUAUAAGCAGUAUGUGGUUAUAUUCAACAAAUGGAAACGCAUUAGUCUCUCACAACACAAUAAUCUUUAUUUCUUCCUUUCUCUUUAGGUGAAAAUAAUUACAGAGAGGAAUAUAUGGCGUGGAGUUUACCUAUGAGCCAUGGCAAUUUUAACAUCAAGCUAACAAUAGUUUAUGGUUAUGUCAGCUAAAGGAGUGGGAAAUUUUAACAGGAGGACUAUAUUGAGUAGAUUUUUAAAAGUAUUGAGAAUUAGAUUGUACAAAAAGAAAUGUUUAGAUACUACUUUGAAUUUUGAAAAAAAAGAGAGUUAAAGGACAAACCAGAUAACAUGCAAACAAACUACUAUAUGCAGAGAGUUAACAAAUUAAAUAAUAAAUUCCACAAACACAGGCACAUACCUUCCAAAACCAGACUAUCUGAGGAUCGUUAGCUUUGUAGCCAUUGACUCAGUAUAUGUCUUCUAAUCUUCAAUAGAAAUAUCAUUCUCACUCCCGUGUAGCAUUUGAUCAAUAUCUUCAAGCUCCAAACUUUGAAAAAAUAACUUCUGCAACCUCAAGUCGCUAAGAAUAUCACCAAAACCUUGUGCAAAAUGCGAUACCUGUUGAGAGAUUGAGGUAACAAACCGAUGUUUUAUAAGAAGAUCAACAUAAUCAUUCCUAUUCUUGCUAUUCACCACCAUGCCCUUCCCACCAUCACAGAGUUCCACAACUCUCCUCAAUCCCAACUCCUCAACUUCUCUGACAAAUGUUAUAGUCCUAAAGCAUCAGAAUCAAUAAAUUCAGCAUCCAUUUCCAGAAUCUGCUUGCAGCGAUUAUACAUGUAAGGAUCCGCAUCUCUUAUGUCUUCCAGAGAAAUAGAAUAUCCACCCAAUUGCAAGAAAAAUACCCGAUCCAAAAAAAUCCCUACUUGUACUCUAUGCAUCAGAGCUAAGCCUAUCAUUCGACCAGAGAAGUUGAAAUACUUGAGGUGCAGGGGUGCCACCGUAGACGCUGCAUACCAUUCAAACAACAGAACUCAGGUAAUCAUCAUGACCAAUGUCAAAUAGAGGAUUUAUAUGUAGAGACAGAGGACAAGAUGAAAUAAAUCAUCUUAAAUGUUCAAAUUGCAAAACACUCAAGUGUUGAUUGUCAAUACUGAUAAGGCAUUUAGAACAAAGGUAACGGAACUGUAAUAACAGAAGGGCAAGGUGACCACACAAGUAGAUCUCAAAAGUUUUUUUUUUUUUUUUAAUAUUUAAAUAACUAUCAACAGCCCAGCAAUCCCCCCAAGAAACUUUUUAUGUACCCAUAGCUCCAUGUAGGCACAAAUUAUCAAAAAAAAAAAAAAAAAAUUCCCCAAAGAGAUGAAGAAUAACAAACUACAAGAACCAAGGCUAAAAGAGAGAUUUACAUAAGAAAAAAUGAGAUGAAAAUACACUUUCACUCCUAAAAAGUUGUGUGCAUUGCACAUGUUAACUGAAAUCAUAAUGGAGAAUUAAUGGCUGUCACAAAAUGAAAUUUAGGAGAGUAAUAUGUUGCAGUUGAAAGUUAAGGGGCAAACGUGUACGACCUAAAGUUGAAGGGGUUUUGCAUUUUCCUCUUACUUGUAUGAGAUUUGAAUACUCUACAUCUAGCAUGCAAUUUUGUUAAGACUUCAAGGUCAUUCAACCGAAUUCCAAGUAAACAACCCCGAAUUCCUAAUGGGCAAAAAUAGUAGCAAAACUUAACUCUACCCACUGGAACAAUCUUGCGUUUGUAAGGUCGACUCUCCAACUCACACAACCCCCCAAUUACUUCAAUCAAUCUUUAUCUCUGUACAGCAAUAAAACCACCUAUUAAGCUUUAACUGACAACAUGCAGCCAUAUCAUCCAUACUAUGACGUUUCACUCCACUGUGUAUCUAGUUCUCCGAGACUAUCUUUGUCACAGAGAAUAAUUGUGUGGUCUGCAAAGAGAAGGGGUUCAACAUGCCAAAUAACCAGGUUGCCUAAAAACCCAUCCUUCCAAAACCAAAUCGAAAAUUUUUAGUUAAACCAUGGCCUUUUUCAGACCAAAUUCAUUUGAUCCAGUCCAACAGAUUGGUUUCAGGUCAAAAAGUGUUAAAUAAACGAAGAUCAAAACUUGACUGAUUGACCCAUUUGGUUUGACUUUUUUUAACUAUCUUUACCAUUUGUCCUUUAGCAAAGUAGUCUCUAAAAUUUUACUCAUUAUCUACUUGGCAGGAUUGACUUCCCACUUCCCAUUCCUCAAAAACCCCAAUAUCGUGAUCUACCAUCACCUUCGGAAGGUUUAGCCUUUCUCUUCUUCCUACAAGAAAAGACUUUCAAACCCAUCUAUCAUCAUCUUUGAAAUAUUAGCCACCAUAGCUCAUUCAUAGUUAGUACUCAUCCAGUGACACAACCUCUCUCUCUCUCUCUCUCUUCGCACGAGAGCACGCUGGCAGUUGCAGAAGCAAGAAAAACAAGAGACAGAAAUAUCAAAUGAGCAAUAGUAGGAAGGCAAAGAAAAUGGGUUAAACCUAUGUAUUGAACCUAACUGACUGGGUAUUUGGGCAGUUCAUCUAUACUUUGUACUGUUUGUUCAACUUUUCCAUCCAAAACUCUUGGUUCUGAUUCUGUUUUGGUGGAAACAAACAGGAAUGUUAAAGCUACCAACCCACUCAUAUUCACUCUACAUACUAGAGCUAUAAGUGCUAAUUAUAUGUCAAACUCCAUUCAAUAUACAGAAAUGAUAAGCACUCCAUCAUUUACUUUUUUUGGUUUCACAAAACCUAAGGACAACAACCAGCAUUCUUAAACAAAAUCACACACAUGGCCAUGCAAUAUUACCUGGAUUUGGGUAGAACCUUCUGCGAUCAUUGGGACAUGCUACAAAAAGAGGAUUUUGUUGAUUGAAAAUAGCUUGGCAAACCAGAACAAACCACUUGCGCAAACACCAGGACCAGUUGCUUCCUCAUUUUUAAAUUCCAUAAAUAUACCCCCAUGCAAAGAUUCAGCUUCUGCAUUAGCUAUAUACUCGAAUGAUUCUGACAAUAACUGAGACCUGUCGAUCAGCAUCUCAUGUUGUUCCUCAAAGUCCUCUUUCACUUCAGGGAACAUCAUCAUCACUAAGUGCCUCCUAGACUCAAAAUCCAUAAUAUCUUUGUGUUCAAGAAGCCAUCUGUGAUCAUCAUUUCGCUUCGCAUAAUGGACAACAAGCAUACACAAUGCACGCUUCCUCAUGCUCAAAAUCGUCCAAAAUUCUUCCUCAGAACCCAAAUAAAGUUUAGAAAUGGCAUUCAGUUCUUUCAAAAUAGUAAGAUAUCGAGACCACGCUGGAUGUGCAAUUUCAAUUUCCCCACUUACCUUUGCAGAUAACCGCUGCUCCAUUCUGGAAAGGCACUUAUCCAUCUUCUUUAGCAUGUCCACAAAGAUAUGAUAAAGCGAUUCGACCUCUUCCUUACACAAGAGAACAUCGUGGUGUUCGUUUUCCAUAGGCAAAGAGAUUGGAUGCUCGAAACCCUUGUAUCCAGACAUUACAGUUCGCAAAGGGCGCAAGAACAUCGUGAAAUCAUUGACAUCGCUCCAACUCCCCACACUCGCUGCUGAUAUGAGGGACACUUCCAUAUCUUUGGACAACUUACCUGCCAGCUCUUUAACGAAAGGGAAUAUCUCUUUUAUAGAUAUCGCUCUCUUUACACUUUCCGUAUGUUCCGAUACCCAUUGAACCUUAAUAACCUCCAUCAUCGGCCCCAGACUACUCCAGCAAGACAAGUACAAGGGGUCAUGAGAAGCUAUUCUCCUGAGCAACUUACAAAACUCCAGCACUAUGGGUGCACAGCGCGAUCGCAAAGACUUUGGUAACUCAAUUAUACAUAAUUCUAGGAAAUGCCUAAUUGACUCCUCGGCAUGCUCCUUGUUACCCCUAAUUGGCGACAUGUAGAGCAUAACAAGCGCCGCAGGCGCAGAGGAUGACAUAAAUAUCUGAAGAUGCCCAGUAGCUGCAUCGCCAUCAUCCUUAGGAGUCAUCGACAAGUACUCCGAUAUCCUAGUUCUAAUAGUUUUAAGAGCAUAGGGCACGGUUUCACCUUUACAAAGGCGGAAAACAAGAUAAAUCAUGUCGUCGAUGAUUUGCCAAGCCUGCGAGUGCCCCGUGCUCUGCAUUCGGCCGACUAAAUGCAGGCCGGCAUCAUUUUGGAUAGCACACUCGGCCAAAGAUUUCUCGCACUGCAGUUGCUUCCCUUUAUAAAUCAGCCUCUGCUCAAUGACGGGAAUUCCAGUGAUCAGUUGAAUCCGCUCGUGCACCGACCGCACGGUAUCGCUGGAAUUGGCCUGGAAGACCAAGGACUUGCCAUCGGAGAUCAUCCUCACGAAGAACUGGAGCCGCGAGGCGAAGGCCAUCCUGACGGUAUCGCCGGAAUUCGCGGCGGCCGUCGUUCGCGGGGGAGGAGCUCACGCGCCGGACGUCGGUCGCCGCGGCGGGGGAAGG
This 16284-nucleotide long non-coding RNA is filed under the name Eucalyptus grandis. Its description in RNAcentral is "long non-coding RNA (EGRA_LNC002353)". The record is from RNAcentral. Lineage: Eukaryota; Viridiplantae; Streptophyta; Magnoliopsida; Myrtales; Myrtaceae.